This 2835-nucleotide ribosomal RNA is filed under the name Faecalibacterium duncaniae. RNAcentral's name for it is "23S ribosomal RNA". It matches the Rfam family "Bacterial large subunit ribosomal RNA". Lineage: Bacteria; Bacillati; Bacillota; Clostridia; Eubacteriales; Oscillospiraceae. The record is from RNAcentral.
GGUCAAGCGAACAAGGGCGCAGGGCGAAUGCCUUGGCACUGGGAGCCGAUGAAAGACGUGAUAAGCUGCGAUAAGCUUCGGGGAGCUGCAAAUAAGCAUUGAUCCGGAGAUUUCUGAAUGAGGAAACUCACCUGGGUUCAUACUCAGGUACAAUACAUUGAAAUUUAAAAUAGGUGUAUUGAGGGAACCGCCUGAACUGAAACAUCUAAGUAGGGCGAGGAAGAGACAUCAAACGAGAUUCCGUAAGUAGUGGCGAGCGAACGCGGAAGAGGGCAAACCGAGAGUAGAAAUACUUUCGGGGUACGGACUGCUUUUAAGACUCAAUCUGUUAACCGAACGGCAUGGGAAGGCCGGUCAGAGAGUGUGAGAACCACGUAGGUGAAAACGGAGAGAGCUGCGCAGGAUCCAGAGUACGGCCAGACACGUGAAACCUGGUCGGAAUACGGGGGGACCACCCUCCAACCCUAAAUACUACCCAGUGACCGAUAGCGUAUAGUACUGUGAAGGAAAGGUGAAAAGCACCCCGGGAGGGGAGUGAAAAAGAACCUGAAACCCUGUGCCUACAAGCACCUAGAGCGCGUCAAAGCGUGAUAGGGUACUUUUUGUAGAACGGUCCGGCGAGCGAUUGUAUGCAGCAAGGUUAAGGACUUAAGGUCUGGAGCCGAAGCGAAAGCGAGUUUGAAAAGGGCGUUAAGUUGCAUAUAAUGGGCCCGAAACCGGGUGACCUACCCAUGGUCAGGUUGAAGUGGAAGUAAAAUUCCAUGGAGGACCGAACCGACCUCCGUUGAAAAGGCGGCGGAUGAACUGUGGGUAGCGGAGAAAUUCCAAUCGAACCCGGAGAUAGCUGGUUCUCCCCGAAAUAGUUUUAGGACUAGCCUCAAGUUAGAUACCUGGAGGUAAAGCACUGAAUAGCCUAGCGGCCGAGAGGUUAGCGAAGCUUAUCAAACUCAGAAUGCCAGAGUAUUGAUGCUUGGGAGUCAGACAGUGUCAGAUAAAUGUCAUUGUCAAAAGGGAAACAGCCCAGAUCUACAGCUAAGGUCCCAAAGUCAGGUUAAGUGGAAAACGAUGUGAAGAUACGCAGACAACCAGGAUGUUGGCUCAGAAGCAGCCACUCAUUCAAAGAGUGCGUAAUAGCUCACUGGUCGAGCGUCUUUGCGCGGAGAAUUUAACGGGGCUAAACCUGACACCGAAGCUUAGGCAAUACAGCAAUGUAUUGGGUAGGGGAGCGUUGUAUACGCGGAGAAACAGUAGCGCAAGCGGCUGUGGAGUGUAUAGAAGUGAGAAUGCCGGAAUGAGUAGCGCGAAUGCAGUGAGAAUCUGCAUGGCCGAAAGCCUCAGGUUUCUGGAGGAAGGUUCGUCCGCUCCAGGUUAGUCGGGAGCUAAGGUGAGGCCGAAAGGCGUAGCCGAUGCACAGACGGUAGAGAUUCCGUCACCACCAAAAGAGUUAAGCACAGGGACACAUAUGAAGUCUCAGAGCCGGGUGUUGGUUCCGGUAGAGAUCGAGGGAAAUUAGUACCGAAGUCUGAGAUGGAAGAUGGCGAGAAAAGCUGUGUGUAUUUCUGAGGUGCCCGUACCGCAAACCGACACAGGUAGGUAGGAAGAAGAUUCUAAGGCCAACGGGAGAAGGGUUGUUAAGGAACUCGGCAAAUUGACCCCGUAACUUCGGGAGAAGGGGUGCUCCAGAGAUGGAGCCGCAGAGAAUCGGCCCAAGCAACUGUUUACCAAAAACACAGGUUUGUGCUAAAUCGAAAGAUGACGUAUACGAGCUGACGCCUGCCCGGUGCUGGAAGGUUAAGAGGAGAUGUGCAAGCAUUGAAUCGAAGCCCCAGUGAACGGCGGCCGUAACUAUAACGGUCCUAAGGUAGCGAAAUUCCUUGUCAGGUAAGUUCUGACCCGCAUGAAAGGCGUAAUGAUUUGGGCACUGUCUCAACAGCCCGCCCGGCGAAAUUGUAGUACCGGUGAAGAUGCCGGUUACCCGCGACAAGACGGAAAGACCCCAUGGAGCUUUACUGUAGCCUAAUAUUGGGUUUCGAUGUUGCAUGCACAGGAUAGAUGGGACUCUUGGAAACCAAGGCUUUGGCUUUGGCGGAGAGGCCGUUGGGAUACCAUCCUUGCGAUAUUGGAAUUCUAACCUGCGGCUCUGAAUCGAGUCGGGGGACAUUGUUAGGUGGGCAGUUUGACUGGGGCGGUCGCCUCCUAAAGAGUAACGGAGGCGUUCAAAGGUUCGCUCAGCUUGAACGGAAAUCAAGCAAAAGAGUGCAAACGCAGAAGCGAGCCUAACUGCGAGACUGACGGGUCGAGCAGUAACGAAAGUUGGAGUUAGUGAUCCGGUGGUAUGUGAGUGGAAAUGCCAUCGCUCAACGGAUAAAAGUUACCCUGGGGAUAACAGGCUGAUCUCCCCCAAGAGUCCACAUCGACGGGGAGGUUUGGCACCUCGAUGUCGGCUCAUCGCAUCCUGGGGCUGUAUUCGGUCCCAAGGGUUUGGCUGUUCGCCAAUUAAAGCGGUACGCGAGCUGGGUUCAGAACGUCGUGAGACAGUUCGGUCCCUAUCUGUCGUGGGCGCAGGAUAUUUGAUGGGAGCUGUCCCUAGUACGAGAGGACCGGGACGGACGUACCUCUGGCGCACCAGUUGUUCCGCCAGGAGCAUAGCUGGGCAACUACGUACGGAUCGGAUAAACGCUGAAAGCAUCUAAGCGUGAAGCCGACCCAAAGAUAAGAUAUCCCACUGAUUGAAUCAGGUAAGAUCCCUUGUAGACUACGAGGUUGAUAGGCACGAUGUGUAAGUGGAGUGAUCCAUUCAGCAAGUGUGUACUAAUAGAUCGAGGGCUUGACCAC